AGCCCAAACCAACUGGUUUCGGCCAGUUGGGGUUUCGGACAUUUUCAUUAAAGAGCAGAGUAUUGAUAGUCGAAUCGUUUGGGAAAGCGAGUCAAAGAGGGUAAGAACCCCGUAGACGAAAUCAAGAAAAGAUCUGAGAAUGCUCCAGAGUACCACCGGACACGAGAAACCCGGUGGGAAGAUGGGGGGACCACCCCCCAAGGCUAAAUACGACCCAGUGACCGAUAGCGAAUAGUACCGUGAGGGAAAGGUGAAAAGAACCCCGGGAGGGGAGUGAAAAAGAACCUGAAACCCUUUGCUUACAAGCUGUGGGAGCAUUUUUAACGAAUGUGACCGCGUACUUUUUGUAGAACGGGCCAACGAGUUGCGAUUGGUAGCAAGGUUAAGUUCUUCAGGAACGGAGCCGUAGCGAAAGCGAGUCUUAAUAGGGCGAGAUAGUUACCGGUUGCAGACCCGAAACCGUGCGAUCUACCCAUGGCCAGGUUGAAGCGAGAGUAAAAUCUCGUGGAGGACCGAACCAGGUGACGUUGAAAAGUCAUUGGAUGAGCUGUGGGUAGGGGAGAAAUUCCAAUCGAGCACGGAAAUAGCUGGUUCUCGCCGAAAUAGCUUUAGGGCUAGCCUUGGGAAGAGACGACAGGAGGUAGAGCACUGAAUGGUCUAGGGGCCUUCACCGGUUACCAACACCUAUCAAACUCCGAAUGCCAGUCGUUAUACCCAGGAGUCAGACUGCGAGUGAUAAGAUCCGUAGUCGAGAGGGAAACAGCCCAGACCAACAACUAAGGUCCCAAAGUGUAUGUUAAGUGGAAAAGGAUGUGAGAUUGCAUAGACAACCAGGAUGUUGGCUUAGAAGCAGCCAUACAUUUAAAGAGUGCGUAAUAGCUCACUGGUCCAGGGAUCUUGCGCCGAAAAUAACCGGGGCUAAAACAUACCACCGAAGUUUUGGAUGUAGAAAUACAUGGUAGGCGAGCAAUGCGUGCUGGACGAAGUCAGAUUGUGAAGUCUGGUGGACGGCACACAAGAGAGAAUGUUGGCAUGAGUAACGAGAGGCAGGUGAGAAACCUGCCCGUCGAAAACCCAAGGUUUCCUGAGGAAGGCUCGUCCGCUCAGGGUAAGUCGGGACCUAAGCCGAGGCCGAAAGGCGUAGGCGAUGGAUAACAGGUGGAGAUUCCUGUACCACCGAGAUUCAUUUGAGAGAAGUGGGGACACAGGAGGAUAGACCGAGCGCGCCGUUGGUC
RNAcentral lists this ribosomal RNA (1235 nucleotides) under Tindallia magadiensis. RNAcentral describes it as "bacterial LSU rRNA". It matches the Rfam family "Bacterial large subunit ribosomal RNA", at positions 266 to 1503 of the family's 2925-position model. The record is from RNAcentral. Lineage: Bacteria; Bacillati; Bacillota; Clostridia; Peptostreptococcales; Tindalliaceae.